This 443-nucleotide ribosomal RNA is filed under the name uncultured bacterium. Its description in RNAcentral is "partial 16S ribosomal RNA". It matches the Rfam family "Bacterial small subunit ribosomal RNA", at positions 338 to 795 of the family's 1533-position model. The record is from RNAcentral.
CCUACGGGAGGCAGCAGUGGGGAAUAUUGGGCAAUGGGCGCAAGCCUGACCCAGCAACGCCGCGUGAAGGAAGAAGGCUUUCGGGUUGUAAACUUCUUUUCUCAGGGACGAAGAAAGUGACGGUACCUGAUGAAUAAGCCACGGCUAACUACGUGUCAGCAGCCGCGGUAAUACGUAGGUGGCAAGCGUUAUCCGGAUUUAUUGGGUGUAAAGGGCGUGUAGGCGGGGGCGCAAGUCAGAUGUGAAAACGCAGGGCUCAACCCUGAGCCUGCAUUGGAAACUGUGUUUCUUGAGUGCUGGAGAGGCAAGCGGAAUUCCGUGUGUAGCGGUGAAAUGCGUAGAGAUACGGAGGAACACCAGUGGCGAAGGCGGAUUGCUGGACAGUAACUGACGCUGAGGCGCGAAAGCGUGGGGAGCAAACAGGAUUAGAUACCCGGGUAGUC